This 319-nucleotide ribosomal RNA is filed under the name uncultured Pseudomonadota bacterium. RNAcentral describes it as "bacterial SSU rRNA". It matches the Rfam family "Bacterial small subunit ribosomal RNA", at positions 30 to 351 of the family's 1533-position model. The record is from RNAcentral. Lineage: Bacteria; Pseudomonadati; Pseudomonadota.
AUUGAACGCUGGCGGAAUGCUUUACACAUGCAAGUCGAACGGCAGCACGGACUUCGGUCUGGUGGCGAGUGGCGAACGGGUGAGUAACAUAUCGGAACGUAUCCAAUAAUGGGGGAUAACUAAUCGAAAGGUUGGCUAAUACCGCAUACGCCCUGAGGGGGAAAGCUAGGGAUCGUCAAGACCUGGCGUUAAUGGAGCGGCCGAUAUCUGAUUAGCUAGUUGGUGGGUAAAGCCCACAAGGCGACGAUCAGUAGCUGGUCUGAGAGGACGACCAGCCACACUGGAACUGAGACACGGUCCAGACUCCUACGGGUGGCAG